UUUAGGCGAUUUCUUCAACUAGAAGACGAUAAAUCGAACUUCACCAGAACUUUGAAGGUACAUCCAGGAAACUGUUCAAAAUGGAUUUUUUUUCUGUUGUUUAUCAUUAACAGAACUGAGAAAUCUAUCUCGGAACAGGUGGUACAGACAAAUUUACAAUAAAAUGUAUUAAAGACAUAAUGCGGCAGAGAAUUGGGUUUUAUGUUCACUAAACAGGCCCAAAGAAAUACCUGCAAUGGGCAGGUUUAGCUUUUACAUCAUGCCUGUUUAAUAGAGGUUUACAGAAUAAAUGGUGUGUCGUCAGAUGACAGAACAUCCGCACCCCCAAUUUCCUCAAAGGUGCAACUGAUACCAGAUGAUAGCUACUUUAAGUAAUCAAGAACCCCAGAUGUAAAAUGAAUUGAUGUUAUCGCCAAAUCCAUCUAUAAUACUAUAAUCUGUUUGGAUAAAUUUUCUCAAAGUAUUCUUUGGUUUCCUGAAGAGAAAAAUCUAAAUCACAAGUUUUUCACUCAGUGGAAAACAUCAAUACUUACCUAUUUCAUUUGUUUCGAUUGUUUGAGAUAAUUUAUCAGAUAUGACUGGUGACGUUCCAGUAGCUUCUACAGUGACUAAAUAUCGUCUGUAAGGCUCCAAAUCAUUGUUAGGUAUAAUUAUGGCUGAAAAUU
Patella vulgata (common limpet) is the source of this 665-nucleotide long non-coding RNA. RefSeq lists it as uncharacterized. Lineage: Eukaryota; Metazoa; Mollusca; Gastropoda; Patellidae. The transcript has 3 exons. The record is from RefSeq and is a predicted model, not a curated record.